AAGCCUUGAGGCAGUGGUUCGCAGAAUGUCCCUCUCCGAGCUCAAAUCAUGUAUUGAGACCUCGGUGUCAGAUGGCCAUCACUAGUGCGCACUUUGAACAUUACCAUCUCAGUUCAGUUAACAGUGAAUCAGUGUUGCUUUAACAAAACUACAACAUUUACUGAAGUAAUAAAAUCACAUGACUACACACUUGUUGUGUUUCAGUCCAUCAGAAUCCCUCAUCUUGACCAAAUAUCCCUCUAGUUUCUCAUGGUGUGACAGAGCUCGGUCCAACUUAAGUAUUAAAAAAAAAAAACAUUAUUAAAACUUUAAAGCAUCAAAAUGCAAAGUGAUUCUAUAUGACACACAAAUGCAUCAAAUCCUCACAAUGUGAGAAUCUGAAACCAGGAAAUAUUUGACAUUUUUGCUUAAAAAUGACAAAUUAUAACUUGAUUAUCAAUAUUUGCUGACUGAUAUUUAUACAUAUAUAUAUUUUGUUUGUUUGUUUGUUGAUAACUUACAUGAUCAGCUCUGCAGCCCUAGUCUUAAUAGUUUGUAUUCCAGUUAAAAAGUUUGUGAAAUUCAAAAAUAGCAUGUAGGAAGGUCAUUUUAAUUCAUGAGACCCACUGCUGAGCAGUCAGUCAUUUCAGCUUCCAGUUAAAUGUACAUUUGUUUCUAAAAAUUCAGGUGUGCUGAUUUCUACCUUUUCUUGGUUACAUGACUGGUGAAACCUAAGCAUGAUCAGACAGGGGUUUCAUCGACUCCGUUCAGACUCAGUUGAUCAUCUUCUGUCCCCUGAAUGUUUGAUUGUCCUCUUAAACUUUGCUGCAGGAAUCUUGGAUUUCGUCUGAUAAAUGGUCCAAAACCAGAAGACGAUUCAGAGCAAAUAUUCAUGUGUGAGAAGCUGCGAUCAGCGAGGUUUUGGACCUUUUGAGUAAAAUAACUUGAAUGAUAAAUCAAUCAGGUAAAUUGUUGCAGAUUCAUUUUCUGUUCUACUACAGUGAGUCUUGAAUUCUCUUCAAACAGUUUCCUUUAGUGAGUUGGAAUUUUGUGUGUGUCCUAUUCGGGCGAUAUGUCCUGCUGCCACUGUGUCUGAAAAGCAAGGUUUAAGUUUGAGGCAGUGCAGUGAACCACUUCCUUAUUUCACCCCAGCAGAUGGCAGCCUAACAUUUCAUUUCAAACCGCUUCUCUGUGGACCUACAUGGUUAUGAGGAUGUUCAUAUUUGACAUUUAAGUGGCUUAAUUAUUCGGACUCUAAUAAAGACUACAUGCUUCCUGUUUAAAGAAGAAAUAAAUCACAGAAUUACAGUUGAUAAAGGGGAAAUUCUGCCAUGUAAAGCUACACCUUUUUCAAGGACCACUUCUUGAAUGCACUAAAAACUCAAUGACCCCUGUCAGACUUUUGGAACUCCUGAAUAACUGGAGUUUCCUUUGUGAACACUUGAAACCCCUUUUAUGAUCCAUGAGGCCUUUCUACAACCACUGGAGCAUCUUCAGGGGCUGUUGCCACUUUCACAGGAACUCACCUGGUCGCACCAAGGACUUCUAGAACAUCCCCAAGGUGCCCAUAACUCAUGAAAGAACUACUGGGACACCAUCAGUAUUUAUGGGAUCAUCCAAAGGAUUUGCUGGAACACCUUCACAAACUCCUGAAUUCACCCAAGGACUCCUGUAACACCCUUCCAGGAUUUUGUAAAUCAAAAAAACUCUUAGGGGCCACUGUAUUUACUUCAAAAUCUCCUGGAAACCCCUCAAGGACCACUGGAUCUGCAGCCACAUAUUUAAGGCACCAAGUUCCUCAAGGGCCUCAGUAUUCCUGUGAGAACAUGCUGAACUCCCAGAAUUCCCUCAGGGCCCUCCUGAAGACGCAACAGCUCCCGAAGCCCUCCCAGAGAACAUGUUACAUCUCCAAGGAUUCCUGAGACACCUUAGAGAAGUUCAGGAGACCCUCACAGACUCCAGGUUUGUACGCUUAGCUUCUGGGAAACAACACUGUAUCUGUAGCCUGCUCACUGUGAAGGUGACAAUACUGCUCAGACCAUCCAGUUGACUGAGACUUCUUGGAAAAUCUGAAUCCUUGACUGCACCGCCAAGGACAAAGUGGUCACUGUGUGGAACUGCAGGGCCGCUCACAGAAAGGUAAGGCAUAUGUAAAACCUAUGGACAAUUUGUUUGUCUGUAGCAAGUCUUUGCAUGUUGAUUUCCAUAGAAAGCAUCAUAAGGGGGCCAAACUAAAGGUACUUUUGUUUUGUAGAACUGGUCAGCAGGCUUAGAACCAGCAGUCCACUCCUUUAAAUUGCACAGAAGAUCAGACUCUACCGUGGCACAGAACCAGCCUCCCGAUUAUAAUCCAGCCUUUUCCAGAUGUUAUUUCUUCCGCCGCAGAAUCUUGAGAACUAUCUAAUAUGCCACUGGGAGCUGAAGCUCAGUUUUGCUGUUCUUAUGUGAACACGGCUCACUAAUUUAGACUUUGAUUCAAGCAGGCAGCCUCUCACCAGUGACCAGCACAACUCUAAUCUAGCUAUCAAACAGUUCGAGUCAGUCGAGAGAUUUGGGUCGAGAUGAAAGAGGAUGAUGUGCAGUGUUUCCCCUAGGUUUACAGCUUUUGGGGGGUGGCAGCGGCGAUCAUGUAGAGACAGAAAUGACAUGAUGUCGUGUAAAUAAGAUAAAUAACAUAAGGCUAUUUAGUUUGUUUAAAAAAAGAACAUGGUACAGACCUGUUCUAUAGGAAAGGUAACCUUAAAUGACUUCUGCUGUGAUCUGGCGCUAUAUAGAAAAUAAAAUUAAAUAAAAUGAACUUGACCUUCAAGGGGGGUGGGGUGCCCCCCUAAUAUAAUGGUAGGGGAAACACUGGCUAAAAGCAAAGCAAAAAAGGGAAAGGCCUCGAUAGCUGCUACUGCUAUGUGCAGCUGCCAUGUUGGUACAGGGCCACGGUGCCUCUUAAUGCAUGUCUAUCCACAGAACUAAAAUUCACUGAAUUCAUUUUAGUCUGUUUUCGCAGCACUUUGGUUUGUCACAGAUCCAGAGCACUUCAUGUAGAUAGAACCACUAAUGCUUCUAUGACACAGUAUUUAAGAUGAUCUUGGCCUUACAUAGUUCUGUCUUACUUGCAUGCCACAGUUCUUUUACAAAAUUAUGUUUCUAGUGAAACAGUGUUUUGCUGAUUUACAUUUUCAAUUCACACAUUUACACAACCCAGUGUUUGGUUCCAGUGUCUCAGCAGGGCUGUGCAGCUGCAGGCUCGGUCCAUACUAUUGGACUACUGUACAGUGCUACCAGCUCUUUUCUUUUUUUUGGAACUGUUGCAUAUUAGUUACACAUUUGUGCUUUUACAGCCAACAUGGAGGUGACAUUUUGUCAUGUUAGCAAACAUUUUAAGUAAGGAUUAAUUGAAAUAAAUUCAACAUGAUAGCAACAGUGGUGGUAAUAUUAUUUCCUGUUGUGUUCCUUUCAUUACAACAUCCAAAAGCAGCGCAGACCUCCAGUGUUUUCUACUCUGUGGUGGUGGGAGAGAAAACAGUCCUGAUGUAUUUGAAACAACAGACUUGAAAGUUGUGACAAAUACAUCAGAUGUGCAUGGAGUGAUACAGAGUUCUCUACAUAAUGUGUUCUCAUAACUCUACAUACUGUAAAUAAUAAUACCUCCUGAGCCACAAACGUGGCUUGUAUAGCACAUUUCUAUCCUUUAUGCUGGCUUUCACACUACUCUAUUCACCCAUUCGCACUCUCAAGUGCUCACACAUUAACUGGACAAGCCGGGAAUCCUCCUGAGCCGCCCUCGCUUUCUUCAUCACACCUUUCUCCUGUUUCAGGAGGCACUUCACUUAACUUCACUCUAUCUUCAUCUAUCUUAAAUAGAUUAGAUCUUAUUUAGAUGACAUCUGUCUUAGGCCCAGAAUAGACUGUUGGAAAAUCAACUGGAGAAAACUGAAUUUUGUUUAUUCAGUAAACGAACUUGUGGUGGUUAACACCACUGACUUUGGUACGGCAAGUCGGGGUUCGAUUCACUGUCCCUGUCACCUCCUCAAACCAAGCAAACUGAUAUACACACACCCACACACACACACGCUGCACCUCCAGCCAGCUCUGUGUUGUCUUAACGGGCAGACGGACUCCCAGGAGGAUUGUGGGAAGCCGAAUAUCUUAACGAGAGUGUGACCUCCUGCUGAGUGGGUGGCUCAUUAGCAUAUUAACAUCAUGAAUAUGUGCACAAUUAAUGAAGGGCCUCUGCAGACUUCCUGUCAGUCUCUGUGUUUGCUCAGGUCUGAGAAAAUUUACUGGAACGAAGAUGGAGAAAUCAGCUGAACUUGUGAUGGAAGUGUUGUCACUGUGGGGAACUGCUAAUCCUGACUCCAGGUCCAGUAACAGGCUGCUUGUGACGCUUUCAGCCACUACUCCCAGUGAAGGCUAGUGAGCCGCAGCACCCUGGGUCCCCAGAGCAGAUGUAGGGCACAUCCAAGGAGUCGUCUAUCUGCUCUGAGGAGCGAGGAUACACCAGAGCAUCCCUUGUGGAAGACUUUUAGGAGCCAACACACCCCUUUGCCCGAAAUCAGUUUGCAUUUCAGAGGGCAGAAUGUCUCAUGUCAGUAAUUGUCCCCUUGAAUCUUACAUGGAAGGAACUAAAACACAAGUGAGUGGAACAUGGGCCUUUAUAAGUAGCUGGAUAUCCAGGGAUUUAUCCAGGGACAUCACCAUGAUGGGCGACAGGAACGACUUCUGGGGGAACAGGGAUCGAGGAGAGAUGAACAGUGACAUAAGGGACACUUUGUUGUUGAUGGAUUUAGUUUUUUUUUUCUUUUAAAAGAGGCCUUAUUACAUCUGGCAGGGGACUGCAGGUUAAGAUAAACCUCUGGCCAGCUCUGGUGCAUUUACAUAAACACUUAUCAAUGAACUCUGUGACUGUGUAAAAUAAAUUAGGUAUGAUCUCCCUGAGCAGUGAGUCGGUGUGCAUGAGCUCGUCACUGGAUGCCAGGGCCUCAGUGUCUGUAUGUUUCUCUUGUUAAUGUUAGUUUGUAUGUGUGACACACGUGCGUGUUUGUGUGUGCGCCCG
This is a long non-coding RNA of Monopterus albus (swamp eel), 5029 nucleotides long. RefSeq lists it as uncharacterized. The record is from RefSeq and is a predicted model, not a curated record. The transcript has 4 exons. Lineage: Eukaryota; Metazoa; Chordata; Actinopteri; Synbranchiformes; Synbranchidae.